Fibrobacter sp. is the source of this 37-nucleotide non-coding RNA. NCBI's taxonomy places the organism in Bacteria, Pseudomonadati, Fibrobacterota, Fibrobacteria, Fibrobacterales, Fibrobacteraceae. The record is from Rfam.
CCUUGCACGCCUCUUAACAAUGCGCACCCAGCGAGGU